CCUACGGGUGGCAGCAGUAAGGAAUAUUGGUCAAUGGGCGCAAGCCUGAACCAGCCAUGCCGCGUGCAGGAGGAAGGCCUAUGGGUUGUAAACUGCUUUUAUCUGGGGAUAGGUACCAGAUGAAUAAGGAUCGGCUAACUCCGUGCCAGCAGCCGCGGUAAUACGGAGGAUCCGAGCGUUAUCCGGAUUUAUUGGGUUUAAAGGGUGCGUAGGCGGCGCAUUAAGUCAGUGGUGAAAGGUAACCGCUUAACGGGGACACUGCCAUUGAUACUGAUGUGCUGGAGUACAGAUGAAGUGGGCGGAAUGUGUCAAGUAGCGGUGAAAUGCAUAGAUAUGACACAGAACACCAAUUGCGAAGGCAGCUCACUAAAGUGUACUGACGCUGAGGCACGAAAGCGUGGGGAUCGAACAGGAUUAGAUACCCUUGUAGUC
RNAcentral lists this ribosomal RNA (432 nucleotides) under uncultured bacterium. RNAcentral describes it as "partial 16S ribosomal RNA". It matches the Rfam family "Bacterial small subunit ribosomal RNA", at positions 338 to 795 of the family's 1533-position model. The record is from RNAcentral.